This 168-nucleotide ribosomal RNA is filed under the name Maurolicus sp. CBM:ZF:14705. Its description in RNAcentral is "partial 12S rRNA". The record is from RNAcentral. Lineage: Eukaryota; Metazoa; Chordata; Actinopteri; Stomiiformes; Sternoptychidae.
CACCGCGGUUAGACGAGAGGCCCAAGUCGACACGAAACGGCGUAAAGAGUGGUUUAGAACCUAUAAAACUAAGGCUGAAUCCCCUCCUGGCCGUUAUACGCAUUCGAAGGGGCGAAACCCCACUACAAAAGUGGCUUUACCUUAUCUGAUUCCACCAUAGCUAAGAAA